Molecule: ribosomal RNA, 262 nt
Filed under: uncultured bacterium
Lineage: Bacteria
Description: partial 16S ribosomal RNA
Rfam family: Bacterial small subunit ribosomal RNA
Source: RNAcentral
GCUUGCCUACGGGACGCAGCAGUGGGGAAUAUUGGGCAAUGGGCGCAAGCCUGACCCAGCAACGCCGCGUGAAGGAAGAAGGCCCUCGGGUUGUAAACUUCUUUUAUUCGGGACGAAACAAAUGACGGUACCGAAUGAAUAAGCCACGGCUAACUACGUGCCAGCAGCCGCGGUAAUACGUAGGUGGCAAGCGUUAUCCGGAUUUACUGGGUGUAAAGGGCGUGUAGGCGGGAGAGCAAGUCCGACGUGAAAUUCCAGGGCC